GACGAACGCUGGCGGCGUGCUUAACACAUGCAAGUCGAACGGAAAGGCCCUGCUUUUGUGGGGUGCUCGAGUGGCGAACGGGUGAGUAACACGUGAGUAACCUGCCCUUGACUUUGGGAUAACUUCAGGAAACUGGGGCUAAUACCGGAUAGGAGCUCCUGCUGCAUGGUGGGGGUUGGAAAGUUUCGGCGGUUGGGGAUGGACUCGCGGCUUAUCAGCUUGUUGGUGGGGUAGUGGCUUACCAAGGCUUUGACGGGUAGCCGGCCUGAGAGGGUGACCGGCCACAUUGGGACUGAGAUACGGCCCAGACUCCUACGGGAGGCAGCAGUGGGGAAUAGUGCACAAUGGGCGGAAGCCUGAUGUAGCAACGCCGCGUGCGGAAUGACGGCCUUCGGGUUGUAAACCGCUUUCGCCUGUGACGAAGCGUGAGUGACGGUAAUGGGUAAAGAAGCACCGGCUAACUACGUG
This 468-nucleotide ribosomal RNA is filed under the name uncultured bacterium. RNAcentral's name for it is "partial 16S ribosomal RNA". It matches the Rfam family "Bacterial small subunit ribosomal RNA", at positions 28 to 507 of the family's 1533-position model. The record is from RNAcentral.